Molecule: transfer RNA, 72 nt
Filed under: Bos taurus (domestic cattle)
Lineage: Eukaryota; Metazoa; Chordata; Mammalia; Artiodactyla; Bovidae
Also listed under: 5 other names
Rfam family: tRNA
About the family: Transfer RNA (tRNA) molecules are approximately 80 nucleotides in length. Their secondary structure includes four short double-helical elements and three loops (D, anti-codon, and T loops).
Source: Rfam by way of RNAcentral
UCCCUCUUGGCUCAGCUGAUAGAGAAUCUGCUUGCAAUGCAGAAGACCUGGGUUUGAUCCCUGGGUUGGGAA